Molecule: non-coding RNA, 730 nt
Organism: Vicugna pacos (alpaca)
Lineage: Eukaryota; Metazoa; Chordata; Mammalia; Artiodactyla; Camelidae
Source: RefSeq, a predicted model, not a curated record
CUCCACCCGCCGGCUCUCGGUUCUGCUGCACUUUGAGGUGGCGGGCCGAACGGUAGCCUCUCCCUCCUCGCCCCGCGAGCGACCCGGGCAGUCACGGCACCCGGCGCGCACGGGCCCUUUAAGAGCUACACCAGCCGAGCUGCAGUUUGACAUCAGCCGGCCGGCGAGGGCGCGCCUGGAGCCGGAGCACGUGCCAGGAUGUUUUAUUGCCGCCGCGGCUGCGGCCGGGCUGGGAGGAUGUGUGUGUGUGCAUGCGUGUGUGAGUGUGUGUGCGCGCGCCCCGGGGGCAGGGAGGCGGGGAGCGGCGGCGGGCGGCGGAGCGCGGGGGCUGGUUCCUGGUCCCCGGGAGAAGCCAAGAAGAUCUCGUCCCGGAUGAGAUGCAGCGGUUCCUGACUCUGGGUGACCUUGGGCGAGCCCCUCUCUUCCUUUCAUUAUGGAACACACGCUCUGUGCCAGACACUGUGUUAAACCCUUGGAUUACCACGAUGAGAGAUACAGUGGCAGCCUGCAUGGGGUUUUACAGGUCAACUCUGGAGGCAGACAGACUCGAGUUUCUGAUUGAUGACCAGGCGUUCCUCUGUUACGCCGUUCCCUUAGGGUUUGGGUGAUGGCCGGAGAGAUCAGGAGAACCUAAAAGAAAUGCUGAACCACACCUGUGUGGGCAACACUGUUGCUGGUCUCUGUGGGGGAUACAGGGAUGGAUACAUAGUUAUUGCCUUCAGGAAGCCUA